This 411-nucleotide ribosomal RNA is filed under the name Triticum aestivum (bread wheat). RNAcentral's name for it is "partial small subunit ribosomal RNA". Lineage: Eukaryota; Viridiplantae; Streptophyta; Magnoliopsida; Poales; Poaceae. The record is from RNAcentral.
GGAUCUGCGGCGGCAGUAUGCCGAGACCACACGGGUAACUAUCUGGGAAGUUCAGCACUUGUCAUUCCGGGAAUAACGGACCCACCAACGUUGGAGGCGAUAGCAUGUCGAGAAGGUCUUGCUUUGGCCGAGGAUCUUUUGUUGAGCAACCUGAUUAUCGCGUCGGACUGCAAGCGGGUUGUAGAUGACAUCAAACAAGGCAACCAGGGAGCAUAUGGUUCGGUGAUUACAGAAAUAAAACUUCGUUCUUCGGUUUUUGCUUGUAAUUUUGUUUUUCCAAGCCGUUCUUCAAACGGUGAAGCUCAUAGUUUAGCUAAACAUGCUCUUUCUCUCGGUGCGGGGCGCCACACUUGGUUGGUAAACCCCUAUGAUCCGAUUUGUAUCCCGCCUCGUGUGGAAUAUCAUCAAUAA